RNAcentral lists this ribosomal RNA (253 nucleotides) under uncultured bacterium. Its description in RNAcentral is "partial 16S ribosomal RNA". It matches the Rfam family "Bacterial small subunit ribosomal RNA", at positions 524 to 776 of the family's 1533-position model. The record is from RNAcentral.
UACGUAGGGGGCUAGCGUUGUCCGGAAUCAUUGGGCGUAAAGCGCGUGUAGGCGGUUCGGUAAGUCCGCUGUGAAAGUCGGGGGCUCAACCCUCGGAUGCCGGUGGAUACUGCCGGGCUAGAGUCCGGAAGAGGCGAGUGGAACUCCUGGUGUAGCGGUGAAAUGCGCAGAUAUCGGGAGGAACACCAAUGGCGAAGGCAGCUCGCUGGGACGUUACUGACGCUGAGACGCGAAAGCGUGGGGAGCAAACAGG